Phyllostomus discolor (pale spear-nosed bat) is the source of this 134-nucleotide small nucleolar RNA. RefSeq annotates it as small nucleolar RNA SNORA13. The record is from RefSeq and is a predicted model, not a curated record. Lineage: Eukaryota; Metazoa; Chordata; Mammalia; Chiroptera; Phyllostomidae. The transcript has a single exon.
UGCCUUUGUGUUGCCCAUUCACUUUUGGAAACUAGUGAAUGUGGUGUCAAGAAAGGCAUACACUAAACACUUUGCAGCCCUUUCUUGCCCUUGAAGAUGGUGUCUUUGGUGUAGGCGCUGCAUAAGUAACAAUG